Apiotrichum porosum is the source of this 88-nucleotide non-coding RNA. The record is from the annotation of a RefSeq genome assembly. NCBI's taxonomy places the organism in Eukaryota, Fungi, Basidiomycota, Tremellomycetes, Trichosporonales, Trichosporonaceae.
UUCUUGAUCGUAUAACGGUUAGUAUGCUCGCUUGUCACUGCAUUCUGCAUGAUCGCGGGAGAUCGGAGUUCGAUUCUCCGUCAGGAAG